AGAGCGGCGGACGGGUGAGUAACACGUGGACAAGUCUGCCCCCCGGCCCGGGAUAGCCCAGGGAAACCUGGAUUAAUACCGGAUGAGACGGGACCCGCGAUGGCGGGACCCGGGAAAGGCGCUGCGGCGCCGCCGGGGGAUGAGUCUGCGUCCCAUUAGCUAGACGGCGGGGUAACGGCCCACCGUGGCGACGGAUGGGUAGCCGGCCUGAGACGGGUGGACGGCCACAUUGGAACUGAGACACGGUCCAGACUCCUACGGGAGGCAGCAGCUAAGAAUCUUCCGCAAUGGGCGAAAGCCUGACGGAGCGACGCCGCCGUGGAACGAAGAAGGCCGUGAGGUUGUAAAGUUCUUUUCGGGAGGGGGCACAACCGUGGCAGGGAAUGGCCGCGGGAUGACGUGAAUCCCGGAAUAAGCCCCGGCUAACUACGUGCCAGCAGCCGC
Molecule: ribosomal RNA, 444 nt
Filed under: uncultured bacterium
Lineage: Bacteria
Description: bacterial SSU rRNA
Rfam family: Bacterial small subunit ribosomal RNA
Source: RNAcentral